CGGACCUGUGUCCAGGUCCGUCCCCACGCUCGCAUGCGUCGCUGGUAACGGCGGGGUGUGAAGCCGAGUGUGAAAGCCCAAGAGCGG
Non-coding RNA from Alloactinosynnema sp. L-07, 87 nucleotides. The record is from Rfam. Lineage: Bacteria; Bacillati; Actinomycetota; Actinomycetes; Pseudonocardiales; Pseudonocardiaceae.